Cavia porcellus (domestic guinea pig) is the source of this 2669-nucleotide long non-coding RNA. RefSeq lists it as uncharacterized. The transcript has 4 exons. NCBI's taxonomy places the organism in Eukaryota, Metazoa, Chordata, Mammalia, Rodentia, Caviidae. The record is from RefSeq and is a predicted model, not a curated record.
GUUGUCAGUGCACAUUCAUUCCUGAUUGCUACACAGUACACAUGGGAGCCAACUGAGAGCCAUUAGGAUUGCAGAUCCGACAGCUUCGCUAUGAGCUGCCAGGUUAAGUUAAGAACUGAGGAUUAUAGAAGACCAAAUGUUUCUGCUGCAGCUCCAGAGGAUUUUCUUCUUUUUAAAUUGGGCAAUAGAAGAUGUCUAAAUCUGAAAGCAGAGAGACACGACAGAAUUAUAACUGAUGCAGCUAGUGAGUCACCAUAAAGAGUGAAAAGGUUUGCUGUCCCACAAAUUUCAUGCUGUGAUGUGCUGCCUCACCACAGGGCCGAAGCUGAGGGACCAUGCAACAAAUCGACACUCCAAACCAUGUGGUCUUUAUAUGUCCUCCACGUGAGCCCUGAACCUGGUAUCUCAAGUUUGUAGCGAUCCUCCUGCCUCAUUUUCCUGAGUGCCUGGGAUUACAAUGCACACAGCUUUGCCUUGACUGACUUGUCAUUAUUCCUUAAAUAAUUGUGUUAGCUUUCUGUCACAGUGACAAAAUCCUUGUGGCAAUCAGUUAAGCAUGAGGAAAGGUUUGUUUUGGUUCCUGGCUGGUUGGCUCCAUCGUUUCCAGGCCAGCCUUGGUGAGUUCAUACCAGCAAUGGAGCCCUUCAGUGCACAGCCAGGACCCCAGUACCCCUUCAAAGAAACAGACUGAGUGACUCAACUUCCACCAGACUUCGGAAAGUCUCCAGAUCACUUUCCAUAAUAUCACAGGCUGCUGAGUAAGUCUUAACAAAGGAGUUUUAGAGAACCAUUUCAGAUUCAAAUUCUAAAAUUCUUCCACGAGUCCUGAAAUGCUGAGCACCCUAUGUAAAAUGCAUCAAACAAUCUCCAAAAUCUCAACAGUUCACAAAUCCAAAUCUGAAUCACUUCUAAGUCGUGAAUCAAACUUUUAGCUGGGAACCCCUAUAGAAAACAAGGAAACAAUCUUUCCUACUUCUAGGAUAAGCAGUCCAAUCCAAAAGUGAGAAAUAGGAAAAUAGCAAAGAAUGAGACCAACGCAGAUCAAAUCCAAGUCAUAUUCCAAUUAGCAAGUCUGUGUCCAGCAUCUGGCAGUGAUACAUAUGCCUUGGAAGGCUUGGGCAGCACUGUACAGGGAUCUUGCUGGCGGCAGCUCAGUGACCACUGUCUUGGGCUGCCUGUAGUUUCCUUCAGCAUUUUUCCACAUUCCUGGAAUCUCUAACUUCCUGUGGUCUCAGUUUCAGGUUUGACGUCACUCUCACAGCAUCCUCUCAUGUGCUACCCUGAGAGACUCUGAACCUGCCAUCAAGAGCCUUGCCUGUGAGGCUUUCCCUUGAAAUCUUAUGGGAAUGUUCCACGGUCCCAUGAAGUUUAUAUUCUGCAUGCCUGCAAAACCAGUCACAUGCGGAUACAGCCAAGGUCUAUUGCUGACCAUAGCUGUACUGGGUCGAAUCAAACCACAACCGUAGUGACCUCUGGAUGUCUGGUUGGCUAAACCUAUGGAAAUAAAUCUCAAACAAACAGUUCUACAAGUGGCCUUGUGCCAGAUCUCACAUCUCAAAAGUAAAUAUAUCAGUGAAUGCAUCAAUAAAUAUGAAGUUUUUGAGACUGUGUGUUGACCUGGCCAGUGUGAUCCCUUCAGUGUGCUUCCUGUCUGACCUCUUUAGGAUUUGCAGACUUCUUCACUUUCCAGCAUACCAAAAUCUCCUGUCUCAGGGUCUCUGCUAAGACGUGAAACAGAUAGUAUUCCUUUUGCACUGAUGCAGAACAUACUUUGAUGCCAUUGCCAGUGUUUCAUUGUUAUUGUUACUGUUUAUUGCUAUUUUUUGAAAUUAUCUUCUGAUCUAGUGGCCACAUAUCAAGCCUUCAUGCAUCUGUCAUAGACAGUUUUGUCAAGAGACAUCUGCUUGAAAAUUAAAUGUCUAUGUGUUUAAUUACUUUGAAUUCAAAGUGGACUAUUUCAGAUUGGUAAGUAUGUGCAUUAUAUCUCCCAUUGUUUUGGUCCCAAUUGAGUAUGGUAAGUAUUAAUAUAUGAUACCAAGCAUUAAGUAUGUGCAUACCUCUCUGUGUGCUGCUGUUUGUUUUUAUACAAACACAGAAAUAGCCUAGAAUAAGGGUGGGGAAGAUCUGUAAAGGAGCAGAAACAUAAUUUCAUUUUCAUUUCCUCUGAAAAGCUGAUUGGCCCCUGUUUUGUAGGUGAUGACCUUUGUCUGAAACAUGAAGGGACUUGAAAUGAUUCUCAUAAAAGCGCUUGUAGAGUUGUUGACUUCAAAGAAGGAUCUUCCCCCUGACUCCUGAUCCUGGUCUCCAUGCCUCUCAGAAACCAGUGGGCUUCGGAGUGACUUAUGUUUCACUGAUUGAAAUGAUUGGAGCUGACGCAAACACUAUGGGCAGGCCUCGUAGCCACACGCUCGGCCAGACUUAUUGUCAACAUUGCCCUGAUGACAGCAUUCUCCUACCCCAUCUGCAGCUGCAAGGGAAUCCAUUAUUUUUCCCAUCCCGAGGGAAGGGAAAGGUCUCCGGCAUCAUUACUCCUAGGCAAAUGUAACUGACUCUACCACGUACCCUAAUUUGCUUGCCAUAAUUAUAGGUCGCUCACCUGCUUUGUUAUUUCCAAACCCCUCCCCUUCUUUUCUGUUCUUAUCAAUAAUAAAUGGAGCCUGUGAAUCAUA